RNAcentral lists this ribosomal RNA (510 nucleotides) under uncultured bacterium. RNAcentral describes it as "partial 16S ribosomal RNA". It matches the Rfam family "Bacterial small subunit ribosomal RNA", at positions 28 to 507 of the family's 1533-position model. The record is from RNAcentral.
GACGAACGCUGGCGGCGUGCUUAACACAUGCAAGUCGAACGAAGAGCGAUGGAAGCUUGCUUCUAUCAAUCUUAGUGGCGAACGGGUGAGUAACGCGUAAUCAACCUGCCCUUCAGAGGGGGACAACAGUUGGAAACGACUGCUAAUACCGCAUACGAUCUAAUCUCGGCAUCGAGGAAAGAUGAAAGGUGGCCUCUAUUUAUAAGCUAUCACUGAAGGAGGGGAUUGCGUCUGAUUAGCUAGUUGGAGGGGUAACGGCCCACCAAGGCGAUGAUCAGUAGCCGGUCUGAGAGGAUGAACGGCCACAUUGGGACUGAGACACGGCCCAGACUCCUACGGGAGGCAGCAGUGGGGAAUCUUCCGCAAUGGACGAAAGUCUGACGGAGCAACGCCGCGUGAGUGCUGACGGCCUUCGGGUUGUAAAGCUCUGUUAAUCGGGACGAAAGGCCUUCUUGCGAACAGUUAGAAGGAUUGACGGUACCGGAAUAGAAAGCCACGGCUAACUACGUG